Nothoprocta perdicaria is the source of this 245-nucleotide long non-coding RNA. RefSeq lists it as uncharacterized. NCBI's taxonomy places the organism in Eukaryota, Metazoa, Chordata, Aves, Tinamiformes, Tinamidae. The transcript is spliced from 2 exons. The record is from RefSeq and is a predicted model, not a curated record.
CUAGUCUGCUUCCUAGUCACUGAACAACAACUUAGGGAACUGAAACCCAGAUUCUUGGCUUUUUGAGACACAAGAGACUUAAGCCUUCAGCUAGGGAUGGCAGCAUGUCCUCUGAGAGUUAUCAGGGGUUCUCAGCAUCCCUUUCAUGGAGCCCUGAACACUGCACAAGAACAAAACAAAACAAAACCAUGUCUCAUAUAUCCUUUAAGUAAAAAUGAGUAUUAUCAAGAUUGACUUGGCAAACA